Non-coding RNA from Podarcis lilfordi (Lilford's wall lizard), 878 nucleotides. The record is from the annotation of a GenBank genome assembly. Lineage: Eukaryota; Metazoa; Chordata; Lepidosauria; Squamata; Lacertidae.
UGAUAAUUAAUAACAUGGGGAUGGAUUGAUAACCAAUAACACGGGGCUGGGCUGAUAAUCAAUCACACGGGCUGGAUUGAUAACCAAUAACACAGGUCUGGGUUGAUAACCAAUAUCACAGGUCUGGGUUGAUAAUCAAUAACACGGGGCCAGAUCAAUCACUCAAUAUUGAAAUGAUUUAUUGGAUUGAUAAUCAAUCACACAGGGCUGGAUCGAUCAUCAAUAACACAGGGCUGGAUCGAUAAUCAAUAACACGGGGCGGAUUGAUAACCAAUAACACGGGGCUGGGUUGAUAAUCAAUCACACGGGGUUGGAUUGAUAACCAAUAACACGGGGUUGGAUUGAUAAUCAAUAACAUGGGGUUGGAUUGAUAAUAACAUGGGGAUGGAUUGAUAAUCAAUAACACAGGUCUGGGUUGAUAAUCAAUAACACGGGGCCAGAUCAAUCACUCAAUAUUUAAAUGAUUUAUUGGAUUGAUAAUCAAUCACACAGGGCUGGAUCGAUAAUCAAUCACACAGGGCUGGAUCGAUAAUCACACAGGGAUGGAUCGAUAAUCAAUCACACAGGGAUGGAUCGAUCAUCAAUAACACAGGGCUGGAUCAAUAAUCACACAGGGAUGGAUCAAUAAUCAAUCACACAGGGAUGGAUCGAUCAUCAAUAACAUGGGGUUGGAUUGAUAAUCAAUAACACAGGUCUGGGUUGAUAAUCAAUAACACGGGGCCAGAUCAAUCACUCAAUAUUUAAAUGAUUUAUUGGAUUGAUAAUCAAUCACACAGGGCUGGAUCGAUAAUCAAUCACGUAGGGCUGGAUUGAUAAUCAAUAAGGAGGGGCUGGUUCGAUAACCAAUCACACAGGGCUGGAUCAAUAUUUUAUAAGGG